CUCAGGAUGAACGCUAGCGACAGGCUUAACACAUGCAAGUCGAGGGGCAGCAUAGAAGUAGCAAUACUUGGUGGCGACCGGCGCACGGGUGAGUAACGCGUAUGUAACCUACCUAUCAGGAGGGGAAUAACCCGGCGAAAGUCGGACUAAUACCGCAUAAAACAGGGGCACCGCAUGGUGAUAUUUGUUAAAGAAAUUCGCUGAUAGAUGGGCAUGCGUUCCAUUAGGUAGUUGGUGAGGUAACGGCUCACCAAGCCGACGAUGGAUAGGGGAACUGAGAGGUUGGUCCCCCACACUGGUACUGAGACACGGACCAGACUCCUACGGGAGGCAGCAGUGAGGAAUAUUGGUCAAUGGGCGGGAGCCUGAACCAGCCAAGUCGCGUGAAAGGAAGAAGGAUCUAUGGUUCGUAAACUUCUUUUGCAGGGGAAUAAAGUGCAGGACGUGUCCUGUUUUGUAUGUACCCUGAGAAUAAGGAUCGGCUAACUCCGUGCCAGCCGCUGC
This 504-nucleotide ribosomal RNA is filed under the name uncultured bacterium. Its description in RNAcentral is "bacterial SSU rRNA". It matches the Rfam family "Bacterial small subunit ribosomal RNA", at positions 23 to 518 of the family's 1533-position model. The record is from RNAcentral.